Molecule: long non-coding RNA, 455 nt
Organism: Pseudomyrmex gracilis
Lineage: Eukaryota; Metazoa; Arthropoda; Insecta; Hymenoptera; Formicidae
Exons: 3
Source: RefSeq, a predicted model, not a curated record
UCAAACGUGAGCCUUUCAGUAAAUAAAUAAAAUAAUACAAGUGGGUUAUAUGAAUGAGAAAUUGUCACAAAUAGCAUUUUACGCGUGUAAUACGUAAAUGACGUAAAUAUGUUAGAAAAUAUUAUAAAUUUCUUAAUGAGAUGUUUGCGUUUGAACACUUGCAUCAACAAGUUGUGAAAUAUCAACAGAAAAUUUUGUUGUAGUUAAGCGUAAUAAGUUUGACAAUGUCUCGUCAGUCAUUGAAGAUCGAUUGCUGUUUUUUAUAUUUUUCAUCGCGGAAAAUGUUUUUUUCGCAUAAAUUGCAGAAGAACAUCGUUUUGCAAAUCGCAGAAUUCCAAUUGUACAUGUUCCGGCUGAUCUUCUAUUUUUACAGCGAUUAUUAAAAAGAUGUAAAUCACUUUUCAUCGCGUCGAAUUCUGUAAAACGAUUGUGAAAUUCAUCCAGGUAUAAAUUCA